GACGAACGCUGGCGGCGUGCCUAAUACAUGCAAGUAGAACGCUGAAGGAGGAGCUUGCUUCUCUGGAUGAGUUGCGAACGGGUGAGUAACGCGUAGGUAACCUGCCUGGUAGCGGGGGAUAACUAUUGGAAACGAUAGCUAAUACCGCAUAACAGUAGAUAUCGCAUGAUAUCUACUUGAAAGGUGCAAUUGCAUCCCUACCAGAUGGACCUGCGUUGUAUUAGCUAGUUGGUGGGGUAACGGCUCACCAAGGCGACGAUACAUAGCCGACCUGAGAGGGUGAUCGGCCACACUGGGACUGGGACACGGCCCAGACUCCCACGGGAGGGAGCAGUAGGGAAUCUUCGGCAAUUGACGGAAGUCUUACCGAGCAACGCCGCGUGAGUGAAGGAGGUUUUCGGAUCGGAAAGCUCGGUUGUAAGAGAAGAAAGAGUGUGAGAGUGGAAAGUUCACACUGUGACGGUAUCUGACCAGAAAGGGACGGCUAACUACGUG
RNAcentral lists this ribosomal RNA (495 nucleotides) under uncultured bacterium. Its description in RNAcentral is "partial 16S ribosomal RNA". It matches the Rfam family "Bacterial small subunit ribosomal RNA", at positions 28 to 507 of the family's 1533-position model. The record is from RNAcentral.